Molecule: ribosomal RNA, 547 nt
Filed under: uncultured bacterium
Lineage: Bacteria
Description: bacterial SSU rRNA
Rfam family: Bacterial small subunit ribosomal RNA
Source: RNAcentral
UGGGGAAUAUUGCGCAAUGGGGGGAACCCUGACGCAGCCAUGCCGCGUGAAUGAAGAAGGCCUUAGGGUUGUAAAGUUCUUUCGGUAUUGAGGAAGGUUGAUGUGUUAAUAGCACAUCAAAUUGACGUUAAAUACAGAAGAAGCACCGGCUAACUCCGUGCCAGCAGCCGCGGUAAUACGGAGGGUGCGAGCGUUAAUCGGAAUAACUGGGCGUAAAGGGCACGCAGGCGGUUAUUUAAGUGAGGUGCGAAAGCCCCGGGCUUAACCUGGGAAUUGCAUUUCAGACUGGGUAACUAGAGUACUUUAGGGAGGGGUAGAAUUCCACGUGUAGCGGUGAAAUGCGUAGAGAUGUGGAGGAAUACCGAAGGCGAAGGCAGCCCCUUGGGAAUGUACUGACGCUCAUGUGCGAAAGCGUGGGGAGCAAACAGGAUUAGAUACCCUGGUAGUCCACGCUGUAAACGCUGUCGAUUUGGGGGUUGGGGUUUAACUCUGGCGCCCGUAGCUAACGUGAUAAAUCGACCGCCUGGGGAGUAUGGCCGCAAGGUUA